This 352-nucleotide long non-coding RNA is filed under the name Gossypium barbadense (sea-island cotton). RNAcentral's name for it is "long non-coding RNA (GBAR_LNC010700)". The record is from RNAcentral. Lineage: Eukaryota; Viridiplantae; Streptophyta; Magnoliopsida; Malvales; Malvaceae.
GUGACGAUUGAGGAAUCAAAGAUGAGAAAUACUGAGGAUUUGAAGCCAACAAAGGAUGCAGAGUGGAAUUCAAGGAAAGAUAUGUUAUAUGAGGAGAAAUUAAAACCAAAGAAGGAUGCAGAGCUGAAGCCCAUGAAUGAUAUAUUUGGUGACAAUUUAAAUAUAAUAAAAGACACUGAACUGAAGCCAAAGACGGAUGCAGAGCUGAAGCCAAUGAAUGAUAUUUUUGGUGACAAUUUAAAUAUAAUAAAAGACACUGAACUGAAGCCAAAGAAUAAUUCUUUCAAUAGCAAGGAGUUAAAGCCGGUGAAAGAUGAGGAAUCAAAGCCAAUGGAGGAUAUUCUAGAGACCG